CCAGCAGCCGCGGUAAUUCCAGCUCCAAUAGCGUAUAUUAAAGUUGUUGCAGUUAAAAAGCUCGUAGUUGAAGGUCUGGGCUUGCCGCGGGGUCCGCUUCGGCGCGUCCCCCGGCGGGUUCAUCCUCGCCUCGAACCCCCGGCUCGCCGGGGCGGAGGGGCGUCGUUUACUGUGAGUAAAUUAGAGUGUUUAAAGCAGGCUUGUGGCUUGAAUACAUUAGCAUGGAAUAAUGAGAUAGGACUUUGCGCUAUUUUGUUGGUUGCGGCGUGAGGUAAUGAUUAAUAGGGACAGUUGGGGGUAUUCAUAUUUAACUGUCAGAGGUGAAAUUCUUGGAUUUGUUAAAG
Molecule: ribosomal RNA, 344 nt
Filed under: uncultured eukaryote
Lineage: Eukaryota
Description: SSU rRNA
Rfam family: Eukaryotic small subunit ribosomal RNA
Source: RNAcentral